AUCAAGCUGACGAGUCCCAAAUAGGACGAAAAGCGCAUCCUGGAU
Schistosoma mattheei is the source of this 45-nucleotide non-coding RNA. NCBI's taxonomy places the organism in Eukaryota, Metazoa, Platyhelminthes, Trematoda, Strigeidida, Schistosomatidae. The record is from Rfam.